ACGUAGGUCCCGAGCGUUGUCCGGAUUUAUUGGGCGUAAAGCGAGCGCAGGCGGUUAGAUAAGUCUGAAGUUAAAGGCUGUGGCUUAACCAUAGUACGCUUUGGAAACUGUUUAACUUGAGUGCAAGAGGGGAGAGUGGAAUUCCAUGUGUAGCGGUGAAAUGCGUAGAUAUAUGGAGGAACACCGGUGGCGAAAGCGGCUCUCUGGCUUGUAACUGACGCUGAGGCUCGAAAGCGUGGGGAGCAAACAGGAUUAGAAACCCCUGU
RNAcentral lists this ribosomal RNA (266 nucleotides) under uncultured Streptococcus sp. RNAcentral's name for it is "partial 16S ribosomal RNA". It matches the Rfam family "Bacterial small subunit ribosomal RNA", at positions 525 to 791 of the family's 1533-position model. The record is from RNAcentral. Lineage: Bacteria; Bacillati; Bacillota; Bacilli; Lactobacillales; Streptococcaceae.